CUUUGAGGGGAAAAAAUUGGCAUGUAUUACGGUUUGGGCACUCUGGCUCAAAAAGGUUCGCCAUCACUGGUCUAGUGCAUGUUGGUCAGUACUAUUAGCUUAGGGGUAUGCACUGUGUGUGCUUAUAGUGAGUUAGUGGAGACCAGAGUAGCAUAGUGUCUGUGAGACAGAGUUAACAGCUUAACAGUUGUGUUGUAGGUUGUAUGUACAGUGUUAUGGCGAGUUAAUGAAGACAAAGAUAAUAAAAGCACAUUGCAUGAUAGACUAUGUAAACAGCAGUGAUUAG
This is a non-coding RNA of Pelobates cultripes (western spadefoot toad), 286 nucleotides long. NCBI's taxonomy places the organism in Eukaryota, Metazoa, Chordata, Amphibia, Anura, Pelobatidae. The record is from the annotation of a GenBank genome assembly.